Molecule: ribosomal RNA, 253 nt
Filed under: uncultured bacterium
Lineage: Bacteria
Description: partial 16S ribosomal RNA
Rfam family: Bacterial small subunit ribosomal RNA
Source: RNAcentral
UACGUAGGGUGCGAGCGUUGUCCGGAAUUAUUGGGCGUAAAGGGUCCGCAGGCGGUCUGACAAGUACCUUGUGAAAUAUCAGGUCUCAACCCUGAAACUGCUCGGUAGACUGUCAGACUUGAGUGCAAAAGGGGUCGCUGGAACUCUAGGUGGAGCGGUGAAAUGCGUAGAUAUCUAGAGGAACGCCAAAGGUGAAGACAGGCGACUGGUUUGCAACUGACGCUCAUGGACGAAAGCGUGGGGAUCAAACGGG